GGUUUCUCCAGUGGAGAAGCUUCUUGAGGGGGCUCCCGCCGUCCACUGCUGCUGCUUGGUUUAACUUCCAGCAGAAUUCCUUCCUAGAUCUGCUGCAGGGCCUGCUGGGAUGCCUUUGCUGAAUAAAUGCGGUUUUGCUGACCCUCCCAUCAGACAAGGAUGGGCCCUAACUGAGCCCCACCCUUGGGCUGCUGGCCCCUGUGAGAUACUGGGGUGCAGGGAUGGCACCUGCCUGGUGGGAGAAGCCGCCUGGCCUGUGAGACCUAGGCCUGGCUAGAACCUGACUGCUAAUGGCUUCCAAGGACUGGAGACUUCCAGAAAGUUCCCCAGCAGACUUUCCAAAGCUGCUGGGGUCCUGGCCAGGCUCUGGCUUCACUUUUGUCCUCUUUCUCUGGCAAGAGAGGCAGCCAUUUAGUCUCCACUAGAACGCAUGCUGAUUGUGGGCUGAGCUGAAAAGGGGACUGGUUCUGUGUGCCCAGACACUAAGGCAGAGGCCUGGCUCUCUUCAGGCUGAUGACAGAGCACUCUCUGGUCCCCUGCCCAGGGUCUGCCCCCAAGCCCUCCCCGCUGCACUGCCUGGAGAGCGCCCUGAGGGGGAUCUUGCCUGUAAGGCCCUUGCGCUUCGCCUGCGUGGCAGGCCCCAGCCCCAGCCCCAGCCCCGGCUCCAGCUCGAGCUUCAGCGGCUCUGAAGGAGAAGACCCGAGGCCAGAGCCUGAGCUCUGGAAGCCGCUCCCCCAGGAGAGGGACCGCCUUCCCAGCUGUAAGCCUCCUGUCCCUCUGUCCCUAUGUCCUGGUGGGACCCCUGCUGGCAGCAGUGGCAGCAGCCCUGGUGAAGACCCCAGGAGAACAGAGCCCAGGUACUGCAGCGGCCUCGGUGCAGGUGAGCCUGGGGUCUCCUGAGGGGGCGCCCAUGCGUCCCCCAGAGGACCAGGAGUCCA
This 938-nucleotide long non-coding RNA is filed under the name Pan troglodytes (chimpanzee). RNAcentral's name for it is "long non-coding RNA NONPTRT015936". The record is from RNAcentral. Lineage: Eukaryota; Metazoa; Chordata; Mammalia; Primates; Hominidae.